CGGUAGGUCUUAGGCGGGGGGCUAGGGGUCCCCUGCACCGUAAAUCCUCUAUAGGACGGGCUGACAACAGGGGAUGAGGCAUCUAAGGCCGUCUAUACCCUCAUUUCCGAAGCGAUGAGUAUCCGUCCCUUGGGGCCAGCGGUCACUGAGCAGUUUCCGUAGGGAAGCCGUCUUCAGUGUUCGCCAGGCGAAUCCGGCUAGGCCCGGGAGGGAGCAACCUAAGUCUGGACGUUUGGCGCUCAAGGGGGUGCGGGUAAUAGCAUAGGGCUUGGGGGCUGGGCGGAGUCUGGGUGUCGAACCUCUGUGACCUGCCG
Molecule: signal recognition particle RNA, 314 nt
Filed under: Candidatus Bathyarchaeota archaeon
Lineage: Archaea; Thermoproteati; Candidatus Bathyarchaeota
Description: signal recognition particle sRNA
Rfam family: Archaeal signal recognition particle RNA
Source: RNAcentral